This 494-nucleotide ribosomal RNA is filed under the name uncultured bacterium. RNAcentral's name for it is "partial 16S ribosomal RNA". It matches the Rfam family "Bacterial small subunit ribosomal RNA", at positions 28 to 507 of the family's 1533-position model. The record is from RNAcentral.
GACGAACGCUGGCGGCGCGCUUAACACAUGCAAGUCGAACGGAAAGGCCUGCUUUCCCUUGUGGAUUGCGGGUACUCGAGUGGCGAACGGGCGAGUAACACGUGAGUGAUCUGCCCCCAACUUGGGUAUAAGCCUGGGAGACUGGGUCUAAUUCCCGAUAGGACUGCAGGGUGGUGCCUGUGGUGGAAAACGAUUUUCUAGUGGUUGGGGAUGAGCUCGCGGCCUAUCAGCUUGUUGGUGGGGUAAUGGCCUACCAAGGCGGCGACGGGUAGCCGGCCUGAGAGGGUGGACGGCCACAUUGGGACUGAGAUACGGCCCAGACUCCUACGGGAGGCAGCAGUGGGGAAUAUUGCACAAUGGGCGGAAGCCUGAUGCAGCGACGCCGCGUGGGGGAUGACGGCCUUCGGGUUGUAAACUCCUUUCGACCGCGAGGAAGCCACCUGGUUGGAAGGGUGGUGACGGUAGUGGUAGAAGAAGCACCGGCUAACUACGUG